UACGUAGGGAGCUAGCGUUAUCCGGAUUUACUGGGCGUAAAGGGUGCGUAGGUGGUCUUUCAAGUCGCAGGUUAAAGGCUGCGGCUCAACCCGAUUAAGCCGUCGAAACUGGAAGACUUGAGUACAGGAGAGGAAAGUGGAAUUCUCUGUGUAGCGGUGAAAUGCGUAGAUAUUGAGAAGAACACCAGUAGCGAAGGCGGCUUUCUGGACUGAAACUGACACUGAGGCACGAAAGCGUGGGUAGCAAACAGG
Molecule: ribosomal RNA, 252 nt
Filed under: uncultured bacterium
Lineage: Bacteria
Description: partial 16S ribosomal RNA
Rfam family: Bacterial small subunit ribosomal RNA
Source: RNAcentral